Molecule: long non-coding RNA, 949 nt
Filed under: Pelobates cultripes (western spadefoot toad)
Lineage: Eukaryota; Metazoa; Chordata; Amphibia; Anura; Pelobatidae
Source: RNAcentral
CUUUAAAACAUGGUAUAGUAUAAAUUUUUAAGUCUCUGAGAGUUCUGAAAGAUUCAGGUGAAACCAUGUCUGUUUAAUCUGGUCCAGAUGUUUGUUCAAUUUCUGUAAGAUUUAAGUUGAUGCAGCAUCAUCUCAGAUUAGUUAAUGGAAGUUUUAUACAAAUAGUUGAGUUAUGAGCGCGCUAUAUAAAUGGAUCCUUUCUUUAAAUAUAAUACUAUAGUAGAUUAAAGUAAUGAAGUUAAUUAAGAAAAUGUACACAUAAGAAUACCUAAAAUAAAUCUAAACUAAAAUUGGUAUACUUUCCAAUAAUAUGUUAUGAAUACAGCUGUUAACUCUUUAUUUUGUGUAAAUGGUGAUUGUGAUAAUGUGUGAUAAGUGUGCAGUUUAAUUUGAAAGUGGUUUAAUUUAUAUGUUGCUGUAUUGUUUUAAAUUAUAUGUGAAUCAGUUUGUCACAGUCUAGUGAUACUGAUAAGAAUGACAGCCAAAUAACCUAGCAAAUAACUGUUUUAUUAGUUGUUGAAUACUAGCGUUUUGGCCAAGAGUAGUUGGAGAUUUAGAGGUGUUAGUUUAAGAUUGCUUUUAUAUUGUGUCUAUCCGUGUUUCCUAGGAGGGAGACAGAGUGUGUAGUUGUGUGCCCAUAAAUGUGAUUUCUGUAUUGGCAUAUCUGCUGGGUACCCAUUAUGUGUUUUUACAAAAAUAUUGCUUUGUGAGAUGACGUGUAAUAUUACAUUGGAUGCUGAGUAUGAGUUAUAUGGUUUGAAAUGAAUUGGUGAUUAUGAGCUUAGUACUUCAGUAAGAUGUGCUAAAAUUUGGAACAAGGUGGAAGCUGAAAUGUUGGGAUUAUGGAAGAAUAGGUAGUCUAUAUUCACUGCUUUGGCAUAUAAGCAAGAUGCAAAGGAAGAGAUUGGUAAUAUGAUUUUUGUAAAGAAAUUUUACAAGUGUUGGAAGG